UACGAGGGCCCCAAGCGUUAUCCGGAAUUAUUGGGCGUAAAGGGUCCGUAGGCGGUACGCAUUGUCGCGGGUUAAAGCCCUCGGCUCAACCGAGGAAGUGCUCGCGAAACGUGCGUACUCGAGGAUGUGAGAGGCAAGCGGAACUCACGGUGUAGGGGUGAAAUCCGUUGAUAUCGUGGGGAACACCAAAGGCGAAGGCAGCUUGCUGGCGCAUUCCUGACGCUGAGGGACGAAAGCGUGGGGAGCGAAUGGG
This 253-nucleotide unclassified non-coding RNA is filed under the name uncultured Parcubacteria group bacterium. RNAcentral's name for it is "contains 16S-23S intergenic spacer region". It matches the Rfam family "Bacterial small subunit ribosomal RNA", at positions 524 to 776 of the family's 1533-position model. The record is from RNAcentral.